UGGGGGAGCUGAUGUACAUGUGGCCUUUAGGCUGCAGCCAAAGCGUUCCUCUAGAUCUGGAAGUCUGAAGAGGGUUGCAGUCUCCAAGCUCAGAUACAACCACGUAUUAGUCUGGCACAACUGAUUUUUACAACUAUUUACAAGUU
Molecule: long non-coding RNA, 146 nt
Organism: Oxyura jamaicensis (ruddy duck)
Lineage: Eukaryota; Metazoa; Chordata; Aves; Anseriformes; Anatidae
Exons: 3
Source: RefSeq, a predicted model, not a curated record